UCUGUGGGGUGGUGUCAUCCUCUGUGCUCCUCCCUCCAAGGCUCCACAGCAGCCUUGUGACUUUUCUCCGUGAGGAAGAGGAUUUCCGCCUUUCAGAUGGGUUGACUCCGGCCCGUAGGAAAUCAGAUGAAGAGAGAGGGUUCUGUGACCUUUGAUGAGACAUGGCUGUGGACUUUAGUGGACCUUGCUCAGAAAAACCUAUACAGAGAUGUGAUGCUGGAGACCUACAAGAACCUGACCACAGUAGGGUAUCAACUGUUCAAACCCAAUCUGAUCUCUUGGUUGGAACAAGAAGAAGAGUUGAGGACAGUGAAGAAAGGAAUCCUCCAAGGAAAGAAGCCACAAUGGAUGUGAACUCUGUGAUUGUAAGGAAUGUGGAAAACACGUCAGUGAACAUUCAUGCUUCAAGACACCCAGGAGAACUCAAAAUGGAAAGAACACUUAUGUGGGUAGUCAGUAUGGAAAAAACUUCCUUACUCUGCACAAGAAAACCUCUACUGGAGAGAAACUUUCUGUGUUCAAUCAGUCUGGAAAAACUGUCAGCCUGACUCCAAAUAUUGUGUCCUGGAAAACUAGCAUGCAAGGGAAAGGCUUUGAAUGCAGUGACAGUCAGAAAGCCUUUGUUAAUCAGUCUUCCUUUCAGGCACAAAUGAGAAGUCACAAUAGAGAAAAACUGAUAAGUAUGGAAGGAAUGUGAGACAGCUUUUAUAUACUCCACAAGCCUUGGUUUAUGUGUACAAACUCACACUGCUAAGAAAGAUUACAUAUGUAAGGAGUGUGGGAAAGCCUACACUACGUGCUCAAGCCUUACUAGACAUAUAAAAACUCAUAUUGGAGAGAAGCCUUUUGAAUGUAAUAUGUGUGGGAAAGCAUUUGCUACUUCUUCAUACUUUACCAUUCACUUGUGUUCUCACACUGGAGAGAAACCUUGUGAGUGUAGGAAAUGCAGGAAAGCCUUCACUUUUAAGUCAAAUUUAAGCCAACAUGUAAGAAUUCAUACUGGAGAGAAACUCUAUAAAUGCAAUGAAUGUUGGAAAGCCUUCAUUAGGCGUUCAGACUUAACUAGACAUAAACAAAUUCACUCUGGAGAGAAAUCCUAUGAAUGCAACAAAUGUGGGAAAACCUUCAAUAUAUAUUCAGACUUAACUGAACAUAAACGAAUUCACACUGGAGAGAAACCCUAUGAAUGCAACAAUUGUGGGAAAGCCUUUAUUAGGCAUUCUCUCUUAACAUAAAUGGAUUCACACUGGAGAGAAACCCUAUGAAUGUAUGAAAUGUGGGAAAACCUUCAGUGUUUCCUCAAACCUAACUGCACUUGCAAGAAUUCACGCUGGAGAGAAACCCCAUAAAUGUAAGCAGUGUGGGAAAGCCUAUACUUUUUUGACAAGCCUAAGGAGACAUCUAAGUAUUCAUGCUGGAGAGAAACCUUUGAAUGUAGUGAGUGUGGGAAAUUCUUUACUCCUUCCUCAUAUCUGAGUACACAUUUGAGAAGUCACACUGGAGAGAAGCCGUUUGAGUCUAAGGUAUGUGGAAAAGCAUAUUUAUAUGCCUCAACAUUUUGCAUCCAUUUGUGAACUUACACUGGAGAGAAACCCUGUGAAUGUAAGCACUGCAGAAAAGCCUUCGCUAUUUCCUCAAGACUAAGCAAAUGUAAGAAUUCACACUGGAGAGAAACCCUAUCAGUGUAAGGAAUGUGGGAAAGACUUCACUUGGUCCUUGAUCCUUAGUAAACAUGUAGGAACUCACAAUGGAGAGAAGCCCUGUGAAUGUGAGAAUGUGGAAAAGCCUACAAGUGUCCAUAUUUGCUUUGAAUACAUGAAAGAACACUAAUUAGAUGCCUCAGGAACUUAAGCAAUGUGGCAAAGCAAUCAGAAUCUGCUACUAUACAGCAUGUAAGAAUUCAUGCUGAAGCCAUUAAAUGUAAGAAACAUGUAGUGCUCUAGCGUAUAGGGUGGAUCUAUAGAUGUGUUUUGAACAUGUGCCAUUCUGCCCUGAUCACUUUUGGGAAUGGUAUAGCAAUCCCCUGAUAGCAAUGCUAAACCAGCAGAGUUUCUACAUCUUCCAUGUUGCAGCCUGGCCAAAAGUGUGACUGCCAGAUUCAGAGUUACCUGGAUUCUGUUGUUGUAUUGUCCUGGUCUAAGAUGGUGAGCGUAGUGACUGCUUCAAUCAGUUCACUACUCACAGAGUCCAUCUACAGUGCCUCAUGCCACCCAAGGUGGGGGAUAUAAUAUGUCUCUGUAAAUUAUCUGGGAAUGUUUUUGUUCCUUUCUCACACCUGCUCCUUUUGGAUAAAAGGUCAGGGUCAAGCAAGGGAAGAGUUUAGAAAAAGUGAGGUUUUACCUACUAUUGGGAGACACCCUGAUUUCAUACCUGGGUGGGAAAACAACCACCUUAGCACCUGGCGGGGGGGGGGGGGGGUUUAACCUUAAGUUGUGCACAAAGAGGGUGAGAACAAUGAACGUUCUUUCAUCUUUGUAUCUAGCACCACAGCAUGGCGUAACAAUUGUGUUAUCUUUCCAGCUCAAAGAAGAGCUGCUGCUAGUGAUAUGACCUGCUUCUGUGUUUGUCAUUCCAUCCAUACGCUGUGAAAAUGGAGAAACUCGUGCAAAUAUGGCUAGUCCUGAUACUCUGCUGUGUAUGAUGCCAUCACUGACAUUUCCUGAUUGUGAAUCUUGGUCACAGACACAGACCAGCACAACCUCAUUGCAGCAUCAGUGAUACAAAUUCAUAUAGUUCUGAUGCUUGAGCAGCUGUGGGUUACAUCAUGGAUGUCCAUUAAUGCUGCAGCUGCUUCCUGAGAAUUUCUUGAGGCUUAAUCAAACCAUUGUAAUGAUAGUCCAAAUCAAGCUUAGCAAAUCCUGAACAGGAAGUAUCUGUGCGCCUUCUAUCUUGCUCCUACUCGUCUUUUUGAAUAUGCAACAAUACCUUGACCACUCUUCCCCGUGGCCAUUUCUUUGGGCUGGGGGGCGGGGAGGGGGGACAUUGGUGAGAAAGAUUGAUCCUGAGCCAACAUCUGUUGCCAAUUUUCCUCUUUUUGCCUGAGGAAGAUUGUCUCUAAGCUAACAUCUGUGCCCCUUGGCCAUUUCUUGCAAGUGUUUGCAGUGAGGAACACAAUUGUAGGGAGAUCAUCUCUCCCAUUGAGAUGAAGAGGAGACUUGCUUACUACCUGAAGUAAACUAGGUUCCACAACCUCAGCCUUCCUCUUCUGUAACACAGCCCAGUGUGCAGACAUCCAUAUGGCCCUUUGUGUCUGAGAGACAUGCUGCCGAAGAAAUGAAAACACGAACACAGGUUGCUGUGUAGUCUCUCGAGUUCCUCGAGCUCUUUAUUCUUAUAGCCCCUAAACAAAGCCACCCUUUUGCCAAAGCAGCGAGUCAGCGACCUAAGCCUGUGCAAGCAUCCCACAAUAAUGACCUUUCCCCUACCCAUCUGUUCAUAGGUUCCUUCAUAAUGUUUCAAACUCCCAAGGUCCCAGGCUUGCUCCUUUUGAGGAGCUGAUAAAACAUUCUUGUUUGCAAGCAAUGUUUUCCCUGGGGCCUUGUGAGUUCACCAGGCAGAACAUUCUGUUUGCAGAAAAGUCCAGCCAGUCUUGUGGAUGCCUCGCGUGCAAGAACAACCACAUUUCAAGCCAGGUCUCCUUCAGAGACAUAGGGACAAAGGUGACCAGUAUGAACAUGCUGAUGUUCAUGCGUUGGCUGUUCAUGAGUUAAAUAUCUGUCUCUGACUUCAGUGUCUCGGGUCCUCUGCCAACAUUCAUGAAAUAGUGAACAGUUAAUACCUUGGAAGAAGGGAGUGAUCAAACUACAGGUCCAACAGUUUUGGUGAUGAGAAUGGCAUGUUGAUAGAGACGUGACUUUCUGGAAGAACAAUAGUGCCAGGCUGGGUAUGAAGACAUAAGGGUAUCUGCAACCCAGUCAUGAAAUCUCCUCCCCCAGAGGUUUCCGCUUGAUAUGGACGAGCAGGGUGGGAAAUGGAUCCCCAGUGUCCUACUUCGUAAUGAAGCUCGUCAACAAGUACGUCAAUAACUAUAUCAGUUUUCCUUACUUUCUUAGUCUACUGUACCCUUAAUUUUUAAAUGUCUUAUACAUACUUAAUGUGGAAUUUUAAAAUAUCUAGGUAUCUGAAAUUGUCUUUAAAAUCCUUUUUUUUUUUGACCUGGAACAUUGUCCAUAAUGUAAUUACUAAUAAAUUUGGAUUUAUGUCUAGCUUGUAA
Non-coding RNA from Equus caballus (horse), 4213 nucleotides. The record is from RefSeq and is a predicted model, not a curated record. Lineage: Eukaryota; Metazoa; Chordata; Mammalia; Perissodactyla; Equidae.